GACGAACGCUGGCGGCGUGCUUAACACAUGCAAGUCGAACGGAAAGGCCCCCAUCUUGGUGGGGGUGCUCGAGUGGCGAACGGGUGAGUAACACGUGGGUGAUCUGCCCUGUACUUCGGGAUAAGCUUGGGAAACUGGGUCUAAUACCGGAUAGGACCAUGGUUUAGUGUCUCAUGGUGGAAAGAUUAUUGUUUUGGUGCAGGAUGAGCUCGCGGCCUAUCAGCUUGUUGGUGGGGUAAUGGCCUACCAAGGCGUCGACGGGUAGCCGGCCUGAGAGGGUGGACGGCCACAUUGGGACUGAGAUACGGCCCAGACUCCUACGGGAGGCAGCAGUGGGGAAUAUUGCACAAUGGGCGCAAGCCUGAUGCAGCGACGCCGCGUGGGGGAUGACGGCCUUCGGGUUGUAAACUCCUUUCGUUAGGGACGAAGCCGCACUUUUGUUGGAUGUGGUGACGGUACCUUUGUUAAGAAGCACCGGCUAACUACGUG
Molecule: ribosomal RNA, 489 nt
Filed under: uncultured bacterium
Lineage: Bacteria
Description: partial 16S ribosomal RNA
Rfam family: Bacterial small subunit ribosomal RNA
Source: RNAcentral